RNAcentral lists this ribosomal RNA (253 nucleotides) under uncultured bacterium. RNAcentral describes it as "partial 16S ribosomal RNA". It matches the Rfam family "Bacterial small subunit ribosomal RNA", at positions 524 to 776 of the family's 1533-position model. The record is from RNAcentral.
UACGUAGGGUGCAAGCGUUGUCCGGAAUUAUUGGGCGUAAAGAGCUCGUAGGCGGCUUGUUGCGUCGGCUGUGAAAUCCCGGGGCUUAACUCCGGGCGUGCAGCCGAUACGGGCAGGCUAGAGUCCGGUAGGGGAGACUGGAAUUCCUGGUGUAGCGGUGAAAUGCGCAGAUAUCAGGAGGAACACCGGUGGCGAAGGCGGGUCUCUGGGCCGGUACUGACGCUGAGACGCGAAAGCGUGGGGAGCAAACAGG